UGGAAGUAAAAGUCGUAACAAGGGUUUCCGUAGGUGAACCUGCGGAAGGAUCAUUAACGCGCAGGCCGGAGGCUGGCCCCCCACGAUAGGAAUCAACGUUCCAUCAGGGGUGUGCAGAUGUGCGCCGGCCUUACGCCCCAUUCUUGUCUACCUUACUCGGUUGCCUCGGCGGGCCGCGCUCUCCUGGGAGAGUCGUCCGGCGAGCCUCUUUGGGGGCUUUAGCUGGAUCGCGCCCGCCGGAGGACAGACAUCAAAAAAUCUUGGAAAGCUGUCAGUCUGAGCGUUAGCAAGUAAAAUUAGUUAAAACUUUCAACAACGGAUCUCUUGGUUCCGGCAUCGAUGAAGAACGCAGCGAAAUGCGAUAAGUAAUGUGAAUUGCAGAAUUCCGUGAAUCAUCGAAUCUUUGAACGCACAUUGCGCCCUCUGGUAUUCCGGGGGGCAUGCCUGUUCGAGCGUCAUUUCAACCCCUCAAGCCCGGCUUGUGUGAUGGACGACCGUCCGACCUCCUCUUUCGGGGGCGGGACGCGCCCGAAAAGCAGUGGCCAGGCCGCGAUUCCGGCUUCCUGGGCGAAUGGGCAGUCAAACCAGCGCCCUCAGGACCGGCCGCUCUGGCCUUCCCCCAAAUCUCUCUGAGAUAUUUUUUCAGGUUGACCUCGGAUCAGGUAGGGAUACCCGCUGAACUUAAGCAUAUCAAUAAGCGGAGGAA
RNAcentral lists this unclassified non-coding RNA (706 nucleotides) under Trichophyton benhamiae. Its description in RNAcentral is "sequence contains 18S rRNA gene, ITS1, 5.8S rRNA gene, ITS2, 28S rRNA gene". The stretch from base 305 to 458 matches the Rfam family "5.8S ribosomal RNA". Lineage: Eukaryota; Fungi; Ascomycota; Eurotiomycetes; Onygenales; Arthrodermataceae. The record is from RNAcentral.